AAGAGACAAAGAAAGAGGAAGGAAGGAGAGGAAGGGGCUGCACAAACCCAAGGCUUUUGGAGGAUCAAGGUGAGAUGGUUUUGAUCUAAUCCCCUAUUUUUGGAUGACAUUUACAGCCUGUAAUUAGCCUUUUUUGUUGGUUUAGUGGGGGAUUAGAGAUGGAUCUCAUGAUUAAUCACUGCUGGGUGACAGAAUCGGCAGUUUCUGUUUCUCAUCGAAUAUGGACAUGUUAGAUCCCGAAUUAAUUUUCCCACCUGAAGAAGUUUUUGUAGAAGACUCAGAGUUCUUUCCAUGAAGACUGAGAUCAUAAUUUUUAGCCAUAUGGUUUAAGAGAUAUAGCAGUUCCAAGAUGGCUGACUUAUUCUGACAAGUUUCCGAAAAGUAAUAGAUCUAUUCAAUUUUAAGGCACCUUAGAGGCAUAAUCAGAUCUUCAAAUGGAUACCAAAUUUUAGAUUUGUAUAGAUCAUAAUUUUCAGUUGGCUAGAUCUCUAUAAAUGAAAUUCUAAAGUGGACUGUUAGUUUUGUGUUGUCAGAUUCAACACUCGAGGUUGCUACAAUGAUUAAUUUAUCUUAGUGAUUGUUACUGCAAAGAGCCAUAUAACAAAAGUUAGGGAUAAUGUAAUUGUGCAUUCUUUGGUAAAAUUUCAUAAUUUUUGGAUGAGUGGUUUAGUAGAUAUCAAGGGUUUACCAUUGACUGUUAGAACUCAAGAUAGAUUCUAUAGUCUGAAUUGAACUACAGAUUAGGACAGUUUGCUUUGCAAAUAAAAAUGUUUUCACCAAUGAAAUUAUUCUCCGUUCUCUGUAGUUUCUGAAUAUGUAUUUAUUUACUAGUGUUGCUUUUGUAGAUUAAAAGAUACAACAAAGAGAAGUGUUGUUGCUCUUGUAGGAUGAUUGCGGUUUUGCUGAUUUUGUCUUUUUAUCUUGUUUGAGGGUUCCGGGCAUAGGAGCCAUAUGCCUAUUAUUUGUAUAUGUUUUUUGAGUUGUAUGUACUGAGUUCAUGAUGAUAAACAGAUGGUAUUGCUCUGGAUCGUGCCUAGUGCCGUUUGCAUCAUCGCUUUGAGGCAAGUAAACGUAGCAGUGGAGUUUCAAAGAGAGGCAAAAAGUUGACUUUUUGAAUGGUUGCUCGGAUGGAUGAUCAGAGACCAUAGACGCGUAGAUCUCGUCGAGGGGAUUCCAUUUAUUUUCUCAUAUGUGAUAUUCGGAGUUAAGAUCAUAGUAUUAUAGUAGAUCAAAAUUUGGAUGGAUAAGAUGGCUCAAAGAAUAAAGAGAGAAAACCCAAUCUACCAUGACUUCACCUCUCCCAUGUCAGCCCUCUCCCUCUCCCUCACGUCAUAUUCUUUUCCUCCGUAAAAAACAGCAGCGACUUCUCUUUUUUUUCCCCAUGACUUCCUGCUGGUGCUGCCCUACCUGUGGUUGCCUCCCCUAUCGAUCUGCUGCUGCCGAGAUACUAGAGGAGGGAGAUAAGAAGCGACAAAGAAAGAGAAGGGGAGGAGAGGAAGGGGUUGCACAAACCCUAGGCUUUUGGAGGAUCAAGGUGAGAUGGUUUUGAUCUAAUCCCCUAUUUUUGGAUGACAUUUAGGGCCUGUAAUUAGCCUUUUUUAUUGGUUUAAUGGGGGAUUAGAGAUGGAUCUCGUGAUCAUUAAUAAAUUCAAAAACCUAACCGAGGUAAUAGUCCUUAACUAAAGGUUAAGUUAUUUCUUAAAUUACUUUAGUACUUGUUCGAUAAUAAUACUUGUGGUUGUUUAUUCCAUCAUGAGGUACGAGGUAGGUUUAUGUAUAAUACUUGUGAUUGUUUAUUCCAUCAUGUGGUAAGAGGUAUGUUUAUGUAUGUGGUUGUACAUGACAUAAGUGGUAAGCUUACUUGCAGAUGCACCGUAUCAUUGCAUCAUAUUGCAUUGCACAUCAUUCAUGGAUACCGCCACUUGCUAGCCGCGACCAUACCGGUACA
RNAcentral lists this long non-coding RNA (1948 nucleotides) under Setaria viridis. RNAcentral describes it as "long non-coding RNA (SVIR_LNC007306)". Lineage: Eukaryota; Viridiplantae; Streptophyta; Magnoliopsida; Poales; Poaceae. The record is from RNAcentral.